AGUCAUAUGCUUGUCUCAAAGAUUAAGCCAUGCAAGUGUCAGUUCAUGCCAAACUAAGGUGAAACCGCGAAUGGCUCAUUAAAUCAGUUAUAAUUUACUUGAUGGCAUGACGUUACCGUUACUUGGAUAACUGUGGCAAUUCUAGAGCUAAUACAUGCACUCGGGUCCUGACCGUGUGAGCGGAAGGGACGCUUUUAUUAGAUCAAAACCAAUCGGGAAGUCGCGGCGCUUCGCGCGCCGCGGCGUACCGCAUCCGUCUUGGUGACUCUGGAUAAAUUGCCGCUGAUCGCAAGGUCUCAGCACCUGCGACGCAUCUUUCAAAUGUCUGACUUAUCAACUAUCGACGGUAUGCCACGUGCCUACCGUGGUGGUAACGGGUAACGGGGAAUCAGGGUUCGAUUCCGGAGAGGGAGCCUGAGAAACAGCUACCACAUCCAAGGAAGGCAGCAGGCGCGCAAAUUACCCACUCCCGGCACGGGGAGGUAGUGACGAAAAAUAACGAUGCAGAACUCUUUUCGAGGCUUUGCAAUCGGAAUGAGAAGAGCCUAAAUCAUUUACCGAGUAUCCAUUGGAGGGCAAGUCUGGUGCCAGCAGCCGCGGUAAUUCCAGCUCCAAUAGCGUAUAUUAAAGUUGUUGCGGUUAAAAAGCUCGUAGUUGGACCUGUGUUUUCGCGCUGUCGGUUCACCGCCCGUCGGUGCAUAACUGGCAGUUCCGCGGAACGUCCUGCCGGUUGGCGUGUCCCCUCCCCGGGCGAGGCGCCGCGGUUUUUUAUUAGCCGUUCCGGUCGUCUCGCGCCGGUGCGGGGGGUGCCAUAGGUUCGAUUCCGGAGAGGGAGCGGACGUCCCUGUGUCGAUGCUCUUUGCCGGGCGUCGAAACGGGCCGGCACGUUUACUUUGAACAAAUUUGAGUGCUCAAAGCAGGCACGUGAAAACCGCUUGAA
RNAcentral lists this ribosomal RNA (940 nucleotides) under Trinoton querquedulae (large duck louse). RNAcentral's name for it is "bacterial SSU rRNA". It matches the Rfam family "Eukaryotic small subunit ribosomal RNA", at positions 21 to 799 of the family's 1831-position model. Lineage: Eukaryota; Metazoa; Arthropoda; Insecta; Psocodea; Menoponidae. The record is from RNAcentral.